Molecule: ribosomal RNA, 460 nt
Filed under: uncultured bacterium
Lineage: Bacteria
Description: partial 16S ribosomal RNA
Rfam family: Bacterial small subunit ribosomal RNA
Source: RNAcentral
CCUACGGGAGGCAGCAGUGGGGGAUAUUGCUCAAUGGCCGUAAGCCUGAUGCAGCCAAGCCGCGUGGAGGAAGAAGUAUCUAUGUUUUUUAAGCUUCUUUUAUAGGGGAAUAAAGAUAUCCACGUCUGGAUAUUUGCAUGUACCCUAUUAAUAGGCAUCAGCUAACUCCUUGCCAGCAGCCCCGGUAAUACCGAGGAUGCGAGCGUUAUCCGGAUUUAUUGGGUUUAAAGGGUGCGUAGGGUGUUUUUUAAGUCAGCGGUGAAAGUGUGGGGCUCAACCAUAAAAUUGCAGUUGAAACUGGAAGACUUGAGUGCGGUAGAGGUAGGCGGAAUGCGUAGUGUAGCGGUGAAAUGCAUAGAUAGCAGGAAGAACUCCGAUUGCGAAGGCAGCUUACUAGACGAUAACUGACACUGAAGCACGAAAGCGUGGGGAUCAAACAGGAUUAGAUACCCGUGUAGUC